GAGGGUAUAGCUCAGUGGCAGAGUGUGUGUUUAAUUAGCAUGCACAAGAUCCCGGGUUCAAUCCCCAGUACCCCCA
This 76-nucleotide transfer RNA is filed under the name Camelus bactrianus (Bactrian camel). It matches the Rfam family "tRNA". Rfam says of the family: Transfer RNA (tRNA) molecules are approximately 80 nucleotides in length. Lineage: Eukaryota; Metazoa; Chordata; Mammalia; Artiodactyla; Camelidae. The record is from Rfam by way of RNAcentral. RNAcentral also lists the same sequence under 2 other names.